ACCUGGCUGGCUCAGUAGAGCACGUGACUCUUGAUCUUGGGGUUGUAGGUUUGAGCCCCAUGCUGGGUG
This 69-nucleotide transfer RNA is filed under the name Felis catus (domestic cat). It matches the Rfam family "tRNA". Rfam says of the family: Transfer RNA (tRNA) molecules are approximately 80 nucleotides in length. Their secondary structure includes four short double-helical elements and three loops (D, anti-codon, and T loops). Lineage: Eukaryota; Metazoa; Chordata; Mammalia; Carnivora; Felidae. The record is from Rfam by way of RNAcentral.